UAGGGAAUCUUCGGCAAUGGACGAAAGUCUGACCGAGCAACGCCGCGUGAGUGAAGAAGGUUUUCGGAUCGUAAAACUCUGUUGUUAGAGAAGAACAAGGACGUUAGUAACUGAACGUCCCCUGACGGUAUCUAACCAGAAAGCCACGGCUAACUACGUGCCAGCAGCCGCGGUAAUACGUAGGUGGCAAGCGUUGUCCGGAUUUAUUGGGCGUAAAGCGAGCGCAGGCGGUUUCUUAAGUCUGAUGUGAAAGCCCCCGGCUCAACCGGGGAGGGUCCUUCGACACUGGGCGCCUUGAGUGCCGACGAUGAGCGUGGACUUCCAUGUGUAGCGGUGAUAUGCGUAGAUAUAUGGAGGAACACCUGUGGCGCAGGCGGCUCUCUGGUCUGUAACUGACGCUUUGGCUCGAAAGCGUGGGUAGCUACCAGG
This 429-nucleotide ribosomal RNA is filed under the name Gemmatimonadota bacterium. Its description in RNAcentral is "Gemmatimonadetes bacterium partial 16S ribosomal RNA". It matches the Rfam family "Bacterial small subunit ribosomal RNA", at positions 355 to 776 of the family's 1533-position model. The record is from RNAcentral. Lineage: Bacteria; Pseudomonadati; Gemmatimonadota.